GUUUAAAGGUAAUACAACACAUCAGGUAUCCACUUCCUGUCAGAAAAUGUCUCAGGGUUUUGCCUGCCAAAUGAGUUCUGUUAUACUCAGACACCAUUCAAACAGUUUUAGAAAAUUUAGGGUGUUUUCUAUCCAUAUAUAAUAAGUAUAUGCAUAUUCUAGUUACUGGGUAGGAUUAGUAACCAGAUUAAAUCGGGUACAUUUUUUUUAUCCAGCCGUGCAAAUACUGCCCCCUAGCCCCAACAGGUUAAUCUAACCACACUGUCCGAUUUCAAAAAAGCUUUACAACGAAAGCAAAACAUUAGAUUAUGUCAGCAGACUACCCAGCCAGAAAUAAUCAGACACCCAUUUUUCAAGCUAGCAUAUAAUGUCACAUAAACCCAAACCACAGCUAAAUGUAGCACUAACCUUUGAUGAUCUUCAUCAGAUGACAACCCUAGGACAUUAUGUUAUACAAUA
Molecule: long non-coding RNA, 459 nt
Filed under: Salmo salar (Atlantic salmon)
Lineage: Eukaryota; Metazoa; Chordata; Actinopteri; Salmoniformes; Salmonidae
Description: lncRNA (ENSSSAG00000104221.1)
Source: RNAcentral